GGCCGGUUGGCCCAAUGGCAAGGCGUCUGACUACGAAUCCGCAAGGAUCAGCCAUCAGGAGAUUCUGGGUUCGACCCCCAGGCUGGUCA
Molecule: transfer RNA, 89 nt
Filed under: Colletotrichum orbiculare MAFF 240422
Lineage: Eukaryota; Fungi; Ascomycota; Sordariomycetes; Glomerellales; Glomerellaceae
Description: tRNA-Arg for anticodon ACG
Rfam family: tRNA
About the family: Transfer RNA (tRNA) molecules are approximately 80 nucleotides in length. Their secondary structure includes four short double-helical elements and three loops (D, anti-codon, and T loops).
Source: Rfam by way of RNAcentral